Molecule: long non-coding RNA, 672 nt
Organism: Oreochromis niloticus (Nile tilapia)
Lineage: Eukaryota; Metazoa; Chordata; Actinopteri; Cichliformes; Cichlidae
Exons: 3
Source: RefSeq, a predicted model, not a curated record
CGCUGUGUGGUGGUGUGUUUUCUGUUCAGUGUUAUACUUCAUGCACUUGAAGGAGGAGCAGAUAGCUGAAAAGAAAGUGUUCGUUCAAGAAGCAGGAAAUGCCGGGAACAGAACGGGAGGAGAGCGAAACAUGAAGAAGGAUGGAAGAGGUGUGCCCAUUCUCUUUCCCUGUGACAGCUCAUCAAGGCGCCAUCCUCCGCAACCCAAAGUUGGAUACACGAUCAAGAAAACUGACAAAAAAAUCUAUUUGUGUUUUUAGCCAGCUGUAAUUGCCUCAUUAUAGAAAAUGUUGUAUGAGAUGUCAUGGCUUUCCAACUUCUCACUAGAGUAUAAAAGUGAAAUUUAGCAAGUAAUACAUGAAGACGACAUUAUGACAAAUUCAUAUUAAUGACUAUAAACUUUACAACAGUACUGUAAAGGACUUUGCCUUAUGCUGUUCGAACUCACACAGCCUUCAAAUAUUGCACAUAUAUUCCACAAUAUGAAGUUAUUGCAAAAAAUUCAUAAAUUUACAUGUGACAGCAAGCCAAGUAUAUGAAAGAUCAAUGUAGACAACAUGGUGUCACCCACUGGUUCAUGGACUCGUUUUAGCGUUUUAGCCAUCAGCAUGUUCAUUUUUUUCUGUCAAAAGUUACCCUAUUUGAAUUGCAAAGUAGAAUCCAUGGGCUGCAU